This 376-nucleotide ribosomal RNA is filed under the name uncultured soil bacterium. RNAcentral describes it as "bacterial SSU rRNA". It matches the Rfam family "Bacterial small subunit ribosomal RNA", at positions 26 to 391 of the family's 1533-position model. The record is from RNAcentral.
AGAUUGAGCGCUGGCGGCAGGCCUAACACAUGCAAGUCGAGCGGUAGAGAGGUGCUUGCAUCUCUUGAGAGCGGCGGACGGGUGAGUAAUGCCUAGGAAUCUGCCUAGUGGUGGGGGAUAACGUUACGGAAACGGACGCUAAUACCGCAUACGUCCUACGGGAGAAAGCGGGGACCUUCGGGCCUCGCGCCAUUAGAUGAGCCUAGGUCGGAUUAGCUAGUUGGUAGAGGUAAUGGCUCACCGAAGGCGACGAUCCGUAACUGGUCUAGAGAGGUAUGGAUCGAUCACACUAGGAACUGAGACCACGGUCCACGACGUCCGUACGGGAGGCAGCGAGUGGGAAUAUUGGAACAAGUGGGACGAAGCCUUAGAUCAG